AGAGGAAGUAAAAGUCGUAACAAGGUUUCCGUAGGUGAACCUGCGGAAGGAUCAUUAAUGAAACUUCAAAGUCGGCCAAAGGUUGUUGCUGGUGAUUAUUCACAUGUGCACACCUUUGGUCGCAAAUCCACACACACCUGUGCAUCUACGACUCGAGGUUGUAAUGACUGAGAGUAACUUUUACACACUCUUGUAUGUAAUGGAAUGUCUUUUUGUGCUAUAAUGUACAAUAUAAACAACUUUCAACAACGGAUCUCUUGGCUCUCGCAUCGAUGAAGAACGCAGCGAAAUGCGAUAAGUAAUGUGAAUUGCAGAAUUCAGUGAAUCAUCGAAUCUUUGAACGCACCUUGCACCCUUUGGUAUUCCGAAGGGUACGCCCGUUUGAGUGUCAUUGUAAUCUCACUUCUACAACUUUAUUGUUGUUUGAAUGUGGACUUGGAUGUUGCYGUUUUAUCACGGCUCGUCUUAAAUGCCUSAGUGUACCCUGUUUUGCAGCGUAUCCAGUGUAAUAAACAUUUCACUAGAGUUGGUYGAAAGRCCRCGUUGACUAUAUGGGCUCUAUGCUUCAAACCGUCUGCCAUGUGGACAAUUUCUUGACAAUUUGACCUCAAAUCGGGUGGGACUACCCGCUGAACUUAAGCAUAUCAAUAAGCGGAGGAAAAGAAACUAACAAGGAUUCCCCUAGUAACGGCGAGUGAAGAGGGAAAAGCUCAAAUUUUAAAUCUGGUGUCUUUGACUCCCGAGUUGUAAUCUAGAGAAGUGUUUUCCGUGUCGGACCGUGUACAAGUUCCCUGGAACGGGGCGUCAUAGAGGGUGAGAAUCCCGUAUAUGCCACGGACUACCGAUGCUCUGUGAUACACUCUCAACGAGUCGAGUUGUUUGGGAAUGCAGCUCAAAAUGGGUGGUAAAUUCCAUCUAAAGCUAAAUAUUGGCGAGAGACCGAUAGCGAACAAGUACCGUGAGGGAAAGAUGAAAAGCACUUUGGAAAGAGAGUGAAACAGUACGUGAAAUUGUUGAAAGGGAAGCGUUUGAAGUCAGUCGCAUCUGUUGGGGUUCAGCCUGGCUUUUGCCUGGUGUAUUUCCUUUCCGAUGGGUCAGCAUCAGUUUCGACCGAGGGAAAAAGACAUUUGGAAUGUGGCUGUCUUCGGGCAGUGUUAUAGCCUUGUGUUGUAUGUCUCGGUUGGGACUGAGGAUUGCAGCGCGCCAUAAAUGGCCGGGGGUCGCUCCUCUCGACACGCGCUUA
RNAcentral lists this ribosomal RNA (1243 nucleotides) under uncultured Sebacina. RNAcentral's name for it is "eukaryotic LSU rRNA". The stretch from base 603 to 1243 matches the Rfam family "Eukaryotic large subunit ribosomal RNA", at positions 1 to 609 of the family's 3401-position model. The record is from RNAcentral. Lineage: Eukaryota; Fungi; Basidiomycota; Agaricomycetes; Sebacinales; Sebacinaceae.